GAUGAACGCUGGCGGCGUGCCUAACACAUGCAAGUCGAACGGAGAUUACGGACGGAAGUUUUCGGAUGGAAGCCUGUAAUUCUUAGUGGCGGACGGGUGAGUAACGCGUGGGCAACCUGCCCUAUACAGGGGGAUAGCAGCUGGAAACGGCUGGUAAGACCGCAUAAGUCGGUUAAAUCGCAUGAUUUGAUCGGGAAAUGAGCAAUCAGGUAUAGGAUGGGCCCGCGUCCGAUUAGCCAGUUGGCAGGGUAAAAGCCUACCAAAGCGACGAUCGGUAGCCGGACUGAGAGGUCGGACGGCCACAUUGGGACUGAGACACGGCCCAAACUCCUACGGGAGGCGGCAGUGGGGGAUAUUGCACAAUGGAGGAAACUCUGAUGCAGCGACGCCGCGUGAGUGAAGAAGUAUUUCGGUAUGUAAAGCUCUAUCAGCAGGGAAGAUGAUGACGGUACCUGACUAAGAAGCCCCGGCUAACUACGUG
This 481-nucleotide ribosomal RNA is filed under the name uncultured bacterium. RNAcentral's name for it is "partial 16S ribosomal RNA". It matches the Rfam family "Bacterial small subunit ribosomal RNA", at positions 28 to 507 of the family's 1533-position model. The record is from RNAcentral.